This 1310-nucleotide long non-coding RNA is filed under the name Homo sapiens (human). RNAcentral's name for it is "HSALNT0002504". Lineage: Eukaryota; Metazoa; Chordata; Mammalia; Primates; Hominidae. The record is from RNAcentral.
UGUAAGCCCAGGAGUGAUUAAGGGCAGCUGGAGGUUAAAAGCAAGAUGGAAGUUGGUUAGAUCAGAUCUCUUUCACUGUCAUAAUGUCUUCACUGUUGCAAUUUUUGCAACUUCCCUCAAAGCGAUAAGGGAAAGGAGUCCACCUUGAGCUAAUGACAAAUCUUCCACUAGCCCACACUCUUCACUGCUUCCCCAGUGUAUGUGGAGAGAAAUCAAAACAACCUAUUGAGGCUUUUAAGCCCGUCUGCUACAAACCCCAAUUUAUGUCCCACAUUAUUCCCCUUUACUCCAUCCAUGCAUCCCAGAGUUCCAGCCAAUCCAAGCUGCCUGCACAUCUCCAUUUGGACCCCUUAGGUGAGAAGAAUUGGGGCUCAGAGAUGCAAGCCAUUUGCCACAGUCACCCUGCUUGAGAGCAGCAGAGACGGAUAUCAUCCUGGGCUUUUCCCACAGGGCCCAUUGUCCAAGCCCAACACCCAUCAUAUUGUAACCUCCCAGCAGGUUCUUCCUGCCCGCUACUCAAACAAAAUCCAUUCACCAAGACCAUGGCAUUGCAGUAAAGAGAGAGUAUAAUUGACACGAAGCUGGCCACGCCACAAGGGAGAUGGAGUUAUUACUCAACUCAGUCUCCCCGAAGGCUCAGAAGUUAGGAGUUUUUCAUAGAUAGUUUGCACAGGAGGAAGUUUUUCUCUGAAGUUCCUUUUUCUGCUUAAAGUCUGGACCUGCCAAAGAAGAAAACAGUAACCUCUGGUCCCUUCCCUGAGUUUUCAUUAACGGAACUCAUAUCGCGGGAAGAAAGACUGAAUUCUGCCAACCAACCUGGACAGACGUGUCACACACCAUUGUCCGCUCUGCGGGUCCCACAGACUUUGUCCCAGGCCAUGUGAACCUUCAGAGGGUGAGGGAAAACUACAGUUUUGGCUCUGUGAGCAGGGUCACCAAAGUCUCUCUGUUUGAAGCCGCAGUGAAGGAAUCCAGGACCUGAAAAGCUGGCAGAAAGGAAAGAAAUUCUUAUCAGCCAGGCUUCCAGACUCUUUCUCUGUGGAACCUGUUUAAGCAGACAGUAAAAAUCACAAUUUGUUCUUGUUUCUUCUCCAAAAUCUUGAUUAAUGGGAAAAAAAGGAUUUGCGUGACUAGUCCUGAGUAUAGUGACUCUGGUGUACUUUUUGGUAUGAACAUUCAUAUUGUUUGAGACAUUUCCUCCCAGAAAUAGUGUUUUUCUCUGUCUUUGUCUUUCUGUGUUGUUCUGUUAUAAAGAGGGUACCAUAGGGUAGAACACAGGCCUAAAACCCCUAUACGCCUGUUGUUCAAGC